This 578-nucleotide ribosomal RNA is filed under the name Lophiotoma acuta. Its description in RNAcentral is "eukaryotic LSU rRNA". The record is from RNAcentral. Lineage: Eukaryota; Metazoa; Mollusca; Gastropoda; Neogastropoda; Turridae.
CAACAGUACGUGAAACCGCAUAGAGGUAAACGGGUGGAUCCGCAAAGUCGGCCCGCGGAAUUCAGCUCGGAAGGCUGCGCGCCUGCCGCCGGGUAGGAGAUCGCAAGACUCUCCUGGCGUGGGACGCGUGCCGGCCGUGUGCACUUUCCGUGGGCAGAGCGCCACGACCGGUUUCUGGGCGGUCAGAAGGCGGCGAGGAUGGUAGGCGCGCGCCUCGGUGCGCGCUGGUAUAGCCUCGCCUGUCCCGAUCCGCCUGGGGACCGAGGAGCCGCCGUGGGCUGGGGCCGCCUCGCCCUCCCGGGACGUUCGACUGGCAGAGACUGGGUGACCGUGUCUGCCGACCGCUUCCUGGGACGGACUGGGGUGGGCCCGCCCUCACAGGGUCAGUGGCGAAUCGGUCGGCCCUCCACCCGACCCGUCUUGAAACACGGACCAAGGAGUCUAACAUGCGCGCGAGUCGUUGGGUCGUACGAAACCCGAAGGCGAAGUGAAAGCGAGGGCCGUCUCUGACGUGCUCAGGUGGGAUCCUGGUCCCUCUGCGGGCUGGGCGCACCACCGGCCCGUCUCGUCCGCGCUGU